RNAcentral lists this long non-coding RNA (1179 nucleotides) under Rattus norvegicus (Norway rat). RNAcentral's name for it is "long non-coding RNA NONRATT012992". Lineage: Eukaryota; Metazoa; Chordata; Mammalia; Rodentia; Muridae. The record is from RNAcentral.
CUCGUCUGCUCAAAUGUUCUAUGCUUUGUCUCCAGGACACUGAAGUUUCCAACCAGAUCACCCUGGUGGAAGACGUCUUAGCCAAGCUGUGUAAAACCAUCUAUCCUCUGGCAGAUCUACUUGCCAGGCCACUCCCAGAGGGGGUAGACCCUCUAAAGCUUGAGAUUUAUCUUACAGAUGAAGACUUCGAGUUUGCACUCGACAUGACCAGAGAUGAAUUCAACGCACUGCCCACCUGGAAGCAAAUGAACCUGAAGAAAGCGAAAGGCCUGUUCUGAGGGUGAGAUGACAGCCACAGAGAGGUCACUGCCACUAGACCAGAAAGUGGAUGGAGAUAUAUAUUUGGACUGGUGUUUUUUUCUGUCAGAGAAGAAAGUAUUUUUGACUCAGAGUUUUUCAAAACCUGACCUUAUUCGCUCUAUGGCUUGUCCCGGAGUUGAGCAUUCUGUAAAUGUCCAGGAGUACUCUUCGGAGCGUUCUUUUCCACAGUUCAGGUGAACUGAAAAGAAAGCGUCUCUUCCGUUCCCCUCAGCCGAGUGCUGCCUCAGUGGCCGCUGCAGCCCUACCCUCCUCUUCCAGCUCAGCGUUGCCUUUUUUAAAGCAAUUUUCUUUAUAAAGUGUUAUUUUGAUAGUUUGUGAAUUCUAAAUAUAUAUAUAUAUAUUUAUAUAAACACCAUAUAAAGCAACUAUGUAUUUAACAAGCUAUGUAUUCAUUCACUUGCAACUGUUCCCUUUGGUGUCAAAAGGACAUUACCAAGUGUAGGGCUGUGUCACUUCUGUUGACCUAGGCCUGCCACCAGUCUCUCCCAGGCUCAGGACUGCCUCCUCAGCCUUAGGUCUGGCUUGUGCCGAGUUCUGCUUCCGGUGCUAAAGCGAGCAAAGACUUUGUACUACUUCCCGGUGUGACUCUGAAGAAUCUAUCUGAAUCAACCUUUCUACCUUAAUGUCCCCCCCGGAAGUGUAUAGUGCCUUGUUUUAUGUACAGUUUAUAUACAGAAAAGUUUGCUCUGCUCUUUUGAUGCCGGCUUGGAACCUUAUCUACAGUUUUAUUCUCAGUAGAGAUAAAAACAUCUCAAUUUCUCAUACCCAUUGUAAACAUUACACACGUCAUUUUGUGACACAGGAUCCCAAAAAUAAAAUUUCAGAGUAAUCACAACUCAUUGAUCAGUUUACAUUGAA